AGUGAACGCUGGCGGUAGGCCUAACACAUGCAAGUCGAACGGCAGCACAGUAAGGGCUUGCUCUUACGGGUGGCGAGUGGCGUACGGGUGAGGAAUACAUCGGAAUCUACUUUUUCGUGGGGGAUAACGUAGGGAAACUUACGCUAAUACCGCAUACGACCUACGGGUGAAAGCAGGGGAUCUUCGGACCUUGCGCGAUUGAAUGAGCCGAUGUCGGAUUAGCUAGUUGGCGGGGUAAAGGCCCACCAAGGCGACGAUCCGUAGCUGGUCUGAGAGGAUGAUCAGCAACACUGGAACUGAGACACGGUCCAGACUCCUACGGGAGGCAGCAGUGGGGAAUAUUGGACAAUGGGCGCAAGCCUGAUCCAGCCAUACCGCGUGGGUGAAGAAGGCCUUCGGGUUGUAAAGCCCUUUUGUUGGGAAAGAAAAGCAGCAGGUUAAUACCCCGCUGUUCUGACGGUACCCAAAGAAUAAGCACCGGCUAACUUCGUG
RNAcentral lists this ribosomal RNA (492 nucleotides) under uncultured bacterium. Its description in RNAcentral is "partial 16S ribosomal RNA". It matches the Rfam family "Bacterial small subunit ribosomal RNA", at positions 29 to 507 of the family's 1533-position model. The record is from RNAcentral.